AUGAACGCUGGCGGCGUGGAUAAGGCAUGCGAGGUCGAACGGUUUUCUUUAUUGAAGAAGAUGCGAUUACAUCAAAUUAACAGAUAUUUUGAAAACAGUGGCGAACGAGCUAGUAACACCUUGGUACGUACCCGAAAGUUUGGUAUAGCUCGCCGAAAGGCGGGGUAAUCCCAAAUAGUCCCUUCAUCUAUCGGAUGAUAGGGUAAAGUAGCAAUACGCUUUCGGAUCGGCCUAGGUCCGAUCAGUUAGUUGGUGAGGUAAUGGCUCACCAAGACAAUGACCGGUAGGGG
RNAcentral lists this ribosomal RNA (290 nucleotides) under uncultured bacterium. RNAcentral's name for it is "partial 16S ribosomal RNA". It matches the Rfam family "Bacterial small subunit ribosomal RNA", at positions 29 to 289 of the family's 1533-position model. The record is from RNAcentral.